CCUACGGGUGGCAGCAGUGGGGAAUAUUGGGCAAUGGGCGCAAGCCUGAACCAGCAACGCCGCGUGAAGGAAGAAGGCUUUCGGGUUGUAAACUUCUUUUCUCAGGGACGAAGCAAGUGACGGUACCUGAGGAAUAAGACACGGCUAACUACGUGCCAGCAGCCGCGGUAAUACGUAGGUGGCAAGCGUUAUACGGAUUUACGGGUUGUAAAGGGCGUGUAGGCGGGACUGCAAGUCAGAUGUGAAAACCAUGGGCUCAACCUAUGGCCUGCAUUUGAACCUGUAGUUCUUGAGUACGGGGGAGGCAGACGGAAUUCGUAGUGUAGCGGUGAAAUGCGUAGAUAUUACGAAGAACACCAGUGGCGAAGGCGGUCUGCUGGACAGCAACUGACGCUGAUGCGCGAAAGCGUGGGGAUCAAACAGGAUUAGAUACCCCAGUAGUC
This 443-nucleotide ribosomal RNA is filed under the name uncultured bacterium. RNAcentral's name for it is "partial 16S ribosomal RNA". It matches the Rfam family "Bacterial small subunit ribosomal RNA", at positions 338 to 795 of the family's 1533-position model. The record is from RNAcentral.